This 441-nucleotide ribosomal RNA is filed under the name uncultured bacterium. RNAcentral describes it as "partial 16S ribosomal RNA". It matches the Rfam family "Bacterial small subunit ribosomal RNA", at positions 339 to 795 of the family's 1533-position model. The record is from RNAcentral.
CUACGGGUCGCUCCAGUAAGGAAUCUUCCACAAUGGGCGAAAGCCUGAUGGAGCAACUCCGCGUGCAGGAUGAAGGCCUUCGGGUCGUAAACUGCUUUUAUGAGUGAAGAAUAUGACGGUAACUCAUGAAUAAGGGUCGGCUAACUACGUGCCAGCAGCCGCGGUCAUACGUAGGACCCAAGCGUUAUCCGGAGUGACUGGGCGUAAAGAGUUGCGUAGGUGGUUAGUAAAGUGAAUAGUGAAAUCUGGUGGCUCAACCAUUCAGACUAUUGUUCAAACUCACUAACUCGAGAAUAGUAGAGGUAGCUAGAAUUUCUGGUGUAGGGGUGGAAUCCGUAGAUAUCAGAAGGAAUACCAAUGGCGUAGGCAGGCUACUGGACUAUUUCUGACACUGAGGCACGAAAGCGUGGGGAGCGAACCGGAUUAGAUACCCCGGUAGUC